UCGGAUUUAGCUCAGUGGUAGAGCGCUUGCCUAGCAAGUGCAAAGCCCUGGGUUCGGUCCCCAGCUCCGAA
This 71-nucleotide transfer RNA is filed under the name Rattus norvegicus (Norway rat). It matches the Rfam family "tRNA". Rfam says of the family: Transfer RNA (tRNA) molecules are approximately 80 nucleotides in length. Their secondary structure includes four short double-helical elements and three loops (D, anti-codon, and T loops). Lineage: Eukaryota; Metazoa; Chordata; Mammalia; Rodentia; Muridae. The record is from Rfam by way of RNAcentral.